GCACCCGACUCGGCCUUCAGUCCCAGAACAGCGCUGAAGGACCCACAUCAUCACGCAGUCGAAACACUUUCGCUCUGCUGACGCACUCUGGCACUGUGAACCCUGCAGCUUGCUGGUCAGUGAACCUUUGCCUGCGCUAGGCAUGGCAGUGCACCCCUGAUGAAGGUGGCCCUGAGACUCCAACAUUGAGCUCUCGCAAAUUGUUUUAAACGAGUUUAAAAGUCUUUUUCCUGUGCGAGCUCCAACCUGAAAGGUAGCGUUAUCAAUUCGCAAAAACGACAAGCAGACAAGCAGUCAGCAGCAAUGACCAUGGUGACGUCGAAGCAUCAUUCUACCUGCUACUGCUAGCCAGGGCGUGCUCAUUGAAGGACCAUAGGGCUGUCCUGCUGUCCAGUGAUACUGGUUUGGUCCUUGAGACUGCGGAGAAUGGAAGGUUGCUGAUCAUUCGAUCUUCAGCGUGAAUGUAUAUGUGCUGACCUGAGCCUUUUAAAGAAUAGCCCUGAUAAGGUGAGUAGCUCCGUGAUUCCUUGUUUGAACAUCACAUCAGUCAGUGUUGUUCUAAUUGUUGAACUUUCUGACUCACCGGUAUCUUGCCUAUGAUUAAUUUUGUUAGUGUUGGACACAAACAACGAACAACUUGUACACUCUUUUUUCAUUCCCUGUUUGGUCUGGCUUGUAUUUUCUACAGUACUAGUAUAAUAUUCCGAGGCUAGUACGACCAUUGUGUGUUGUUAAUAUAUUAUCCUGUGGAGCAAAGAGUGUUGUAAGAACACUAAUAGAUGUCAUGAAUAAACAUGUACAUAACUAUGUAGAACUAACGUGAGGAACCGCGAAAAUGGAUAUAUAGUUUGUCUCCUCUCACUAAAUUUCUCUUUGUGUGUAUGCAAAUGUAUCUCUCCAUCUCUCCAACUAUCCCUCUCACUCUCUCCCCUAUCUCUCUCUCUCGCUCUCGCUCGCUCUCUCUCUCUCUCUCUUUCUCUCUCUCUCUCUCUCUCUCUCUCUCUCUCUCUCUCUCUCUCUCUCUCUCUCUCUAUCUCUCUCUCUCUCCCCCUCUCUCUCUCUCCAUCUAUCUAUCUUUCUCUCCUUCCUCUCCUCUUGCACUCUCAUCAUGUUAGCACGAAGUAUCAGGACUUUCUCUCCUCACUUUGAAAAUUACUUCUACAGGAGCAGCCACAUUUACCCCGUGUAGCUUGAAGCUCAGUAAUGAACCUGUUGGAUCGGAAAGAAUCCGGAUUUCUUACUGUUGGGAAUUAUUAAUCAACAAUCAGCAGCGAAAUAUUUGAAUAUUUCUUUCUCUCUCUUACUUUCUCUCCUAGUUUGCGACGUUUCUUUAUUUCUCUCUUUCUCUCUCUCUUUAUCUCUCUCUCUCUCUCUCCCUCUCUCUCUCUCUCUCUCUCUCUCUCUCUCUCUCUCUCUCUCUCUCUCUCUCUCUCUCUCUCUCUCUCUCUCUCUCUCUCUCUCUCUCUCUCUCUCUCUCUCUCUCUCUCUCUCUCUCUCUCUCUCUCUCUCUCUCUCUCUCUCUCUCUCUCUCUCUCUCUCUCUCUCUCUCUCUAUGCCUAUUCGGCUUUAACGGUCUUACCUGCGUUCACAGCACGUUUAUCUGACGUCCACAAGGGUGCUGUUAUCAUAACAAUCCUGCCUGGUGGUGGUGGUGGUGGCUGAGGAGUGGCAGGUGAUUGCCAAUAGUGAGGCUGGUAGUGUGGCUGCGGGGGUUGCUGCAACCCCUCGGAACGCGGAUGAAUGUGUUCUUUCUGAUGGUCUUCAUCAUCGUCAUCGAUCUCCUCGUGUCUGCGCUUCAUAAUGGCGUACUGCUAGGCCCAAUAAAGGACACUUUCUGGCUUAAAUUUCAGUAUAAAAUCGUAGAAAGGCCACCAACAGCUGGGGGAACACACUUCAAUCAGCAACAACCCUUUGUAAAUACGACGAGCGAUAUACUUCCUGGCUGAAGAGAGAUUCAACUUUCAAAGCAUGCAUGUAUUCCUUUCUCCUGCUUCUGCAGCUGGGCAGUCGCCAUUGCGCGCGCAUUUUUCGGAAGUAUUAAACUUGAAAUGCUAAUCAAUGGAGGUGCUCAGGGCAUAGGGCGGAUACGUGUCUUUGGAUGUUUUUGUGAACUUGGGAAUGACGUGUUGCAUGUCAGGUGUAGCGGGCCGGCCUUCGAACCAUGUAACCUUUCGACGAUGAAAAUCAAGGCUUUUCCUGGUUAUCGAGGGGCCUGAAGUAUCAUAAUCUCGGUGCGCAUGUUGGGUUUUGGCAUCGCGCCAAAAUUAUUAGUCCCAAAUCCUCUCAAUGCACCACCGCGUGCGAUUCGUGUUUGGGUCGUGCAAAAGUUUUGUGUGCCAGCAAUAAUGUCGUGCUUGUGUUCGGUAGCGCUGUCGGGGUGCGUUCGAUCCAUGUAAACAGUCAAGUACAUGUAUGGGAUGAUCAUCAUGAUUAGGUGUGUGUGUGUGUGUGUGUGUGUGUGUGUGUGUGUGUGUGUGUGUGUGUGUGUGUGUGUGUGUCCAUGCACUGAUGAUGCAGGCAUGCACACAUACAUGUAUGCUCCCUCUGCUGACUCAGAUCUGAAGUCGAUCCAAAGCCUAGGCUAGGGACUCGCGAGUCUUCGAACUGCAUGUCGAUCACGUGGAGUUCAUACGGCAGACAAACAAGUGACUGAAACGAAGCGAUUCAAGAAGAUAAGGUUCGGAGAAAUGCCACAUCAGCUGCUCAGGUGAUGCUAGAAAAUGUACGCGUAGCACCCAUCGAGCUAGCUCCAGUGUGUGAACAGGCGAUGAACUGAAGCAGCUAAUCAAGAACAUCAGAGGCAACGGUCUCUCUUAGGGCACCACCAGCAUUCAAUGCGGCAGAAGCCAUGACUCACGAACAAGAAAUACGUCCUGCUAUGGUUUGAGUGGAUGGCCACAGUAUGUCAAUCAAUGAGAAGACGGUGGGACAUAUUGUCCUGUUCUGUCUGCAAUUACAUGACAGAACGUGGCACAUUUGAAGACAAGCUGGCACGACUGAGAACUUUCGAUGAUCCCGAACAGAUUGGCACGCCUGAAAAUGGCCUCCGGCAUGGCUGUGAGGGACGUACUGCUACAGUUGGCAUUUGGGAUGUACAUCGGCACCGCUUGUAGAAAGGGUUGAAUGACAGCCAUUCCACGCCCGGGAUGCAGGGUGACAAAGAACACGUAUUUAUUGCCGUAGCUAUGCAAAAGACAUCACUUCAGUGACUUCUGGCGCUAGCCAGGGUCCACACUGCUUUAAUUCCGUGUUUGUUUGUUUGUGCCAUCGGCAUGCCUGGCGCUAUCCCGUACCUGUCCCGUACCGUACCGUACCAUCAAAGACAGCUGGCCGCAAACGGCAAAAAGGGCUUUCAAAUGCAAGAUCUUAAUGUGAAGCAACUUGGAAGAAUGAGUAUGUAUGCGAAGUGCAUCGGGAGAAUGCAUGCAGGACGAUAGUGCGGGUUCAAAUCCUAGGUUAUGUCUUGAAAAAAAUAGGAGAAAGGAAAAUUUAUAACAUCCCUAUCAGGGGCGUAGGAGGGGUUUUGGAAGUGGUACGACCAAAGGUCGGUGCGGCCAAAGGCCGUGUCGGAGGGGGGUCGGAGGGACCUCCCCCGGGAAAAUUUUGUAAAAAAGACACAAAAUCCUGCGUUCUGGGAACUCCUGGCACACUUCUGGCGCAGUGUACAUGUAAUGUGCAGUCGAGUCGAGUACAGUACUCAGUACGACUGCAGAUGCAUAACAGAUCUACGAGUAGAUCUACGAGUCUAGAAAAAGGUCAAAGUCUGAUGCGCAUAUGCAUCGAUGGAUCCUGAUUUUUUUAUUACGGUUUUGCACGCUUCGGACGGACCACACUUUUCGAAAAGUGGUACGGCCAUGGUCGUACCAGUCAGCGGGUGCUACGCCCCUGCAUAUGCUUUUUUGCCUAGGUCAUCAAGGUGGUAGACCGUGUCGUAUUACCCUUGACCAUACCUGUCCCAUACCGUACCGUACCAUCAAAGACAGCUGGCCACAAUAGUCCGUGGGCCAAACCUGAAAAAAGGCCUCCUAGAAAAAUCUCGUUCCGACUUUUGGGCACCGCAAUUUUAUUGGCCACCUCUACUCUAGAUACCUUACUGAGCAGGAUCCCGGUUGUUGUCACUCUGACAACUUUCUGAAAGGUAUCCAAACAUCGGCUUUUCCAUGUUGAAAAUUUCUCUCUCGGCGGCCAUUGUUUUGUAUGCAUUCAUCAGUGCAUGCACGUUGUGUGUGGUGCUGUGAAAUGUGAUUAUGCACCAGAAUAGACGAAAGUACACGAAUUCAGUGUUACCUGUCUUGUCAAGUCGUGAUCUGGUACGAUCUGGUACACUGCACACUCUCUCCAGGUGUGCACCCGGACCCACAAUUCUUACUCUCUGCACUGCAGUGCAGGCGUGCACCCACUAUACUUGGCAGCUUCCUUCUCAGUUUGAACUUUCAUUUCGAGAUUGGUUUUUGGUUUCAGUUUGUACUAGUAUGUCUGUGGUCAAGUAGCACUAGAAGUAAGCGUCGUGAUGACUUUAAAGUGUCUCAUUCAAGUUCCGGAGUGCGGUGAGGAGGUGAAGCCCUUCACCCAGACAACGUGGAAGAAGGUGUGUGAAAUAUGCACUAGUGAAGCUGUUGCCGUAGAAAAUUUAGCUGAGCUCAGGGAGUUAUGUCGUAGUGAUGUUUGGCCUGAAAACGGAGGCUUCCACAGAAAAUGUUACCAGAAAAUAACGAAUAUAACCCUCCGACGAAGGCAGAGUACCCCUCAUCUAGCCAUUCGGAAGAACUGUCUGUGCCGGAGUCGAUAGAGCCAGAAGCCAAGCGCCGCCCCAGCACGCGCGCCGCACUAGCCGCGCCCGUCGUAGCUCCAGGCAUGAAGGGCUGCAUAUUUUGUGGGAAGGAGAGACGCCAGCAACCUGGCCGGAAGAAUUGUAGUCCAGUCCACAAGCAGGUGUGAAUACGCACACGCUGCAGCGAAGCUGUUAUGUACAUGUUAUACGCAGUAAACGUCAGAAAAGACGAAAAGGUCCAAGUUGCAAUUGGUCAAUCCGUCUCUGGAAUGUUUGCGCGCGAGGUUAACUACCAUAAACAAUGCUACAGGAAUUACACGAGAGCUUAGUGCCCCUGUUUGCGAAGCCAUGGUGGGGAUGCAUGCCUAUACAGGUUGUGACACAACCAGUGCCUUCAGUGGCAGAGGGAAGAAGCUAGCAUUUCAGCUGAUCACCAAGCAAACCCCAAAAGGCGAGCUGGCUCGAAAGGCUAUGGCAGCACUCAGUGCAUCAUUUGACGCACUACCAGCUGACAUUUUCGCUUGCAUCGAGCAGUUCACUUGCGGUAUAUACGGCUUCAACACCGCCACAUCUAUCAACGAAGUGCGAUACCAGAUGUUCUGCUCUCGCUCGACGCAAUCCAGCUCCCUUCCUCCUUGCCAAGAUGCGCUGCGCAAGCAUGCUGCAGGAGCAAAUUACCAGGCCAGUAUCUGGCACCGUGCUCUGGAAGCUUCCGCGGAUGUCCCACCACCGCAUAGCCCUGGUCAAGGGUGGACCAUUGAUUCUGGCGGUGGUUUGGAAGUGGACUGGCUCAGCUUGGCACCAGCACCAUCGAGCCUGAUGGAAUUUGUUUCAUGCGGUUGCACGACAGGCUGCAAGCACGGACAUUGCUCCUGCCGGAGACAGCACCUCAAUUGCACGGAUGCUUGCAAGUGCUCUCACUCGGGCCAGGAGUGUGGGAAUGGGCAACCACUGGAGCUUCAAGUAACUGCAGAACUCAGUGAAGACGAGGAUGAAUAAGAAAAAGAAUGCCCAUCCUGACAGGUAUGUAUAAUGUGAUUGAAGAUUGAGUGUUCAUUAGAGUUCAGUGAUGCACAUUGUACAAUCAUGAACAUGUACGUGACUGUACAUCAUGCCCAAUUCAAGUCCUUCUGAUGUUUGCCCAGUGUUCAGUAUCAAUAUCACAUGUGGACUAAAAUCAAUGUGGGAGAUAUAAAAAUGCACGGGAAUGAUCAUUGCGAUUAUUUUUCAUUGCCAUCGGCUUCGGCCUCAUUUCCUCUGUGCUGCGCUGAUGAGUCCACAGAGGACGAACUAGUUCUGUCCACACGUUGGGUGAUCAUUGGAAUUGGAAUUGUGUAUUUUCUGUGACCUGAUUAUUCUCUACAGGUCGACCUUUUUUGGCAACAUGAAACAUAUUCCGUAUGGCUAAUCCUGCAGUAUAAGUCAGUGUUAUGAUGACGAAGUCUCCCUCGUACACAGCUGCAACAAACGUAGUCUUCUGGGGUCACGCGGUCCUUCAGGUCUGGUCUGUCAGUGACCUGUGCUGAUGGUCACAGUGUUGUGAUCCUUUCUCUGGACUUUCAGAUUAUUCUGCAACCCAUAUAAUAACUAUGCAAUGCAUAAAUGCGGCUGUGUGUUCUGCCUUAUAUCUGUAUAAUGUACACCAUUUUUGUAUUGAACGGUCUGAGAUAUUCUUAGAUCAGACAUAGUAUUCUGCAAUGUACAGUACCUGCAUGCCACAGCCAGUCCUAUUAUGACCUGAUAAAAUGGUAUACAAUGACUCGAAUGAUGUUUCGAAGUAGUUACAGUAUUGUGCUCGACACACGCGGUCUUCUUGCACACGUGUGUGUACAUGAACAAUAUGGACGUAUUGGGCAUUUUGUUUUUCUUUAUUUUUCAUGUUAUAUCAUAUUUUUCUCUUUCCAGUUGAAUCUGGGAAGGAGGCACUCUGGAUAUAUGACCCUGUGGAAAAAAUAAUAAUACCAAAAACAUUGUAAUUAGCCAGAAAAUCCAAUUUUAGGUUCUGGUUACCAUGGCAACCGGUGCUGAUUUGUAUUUCACUCGCCGUGCAACCCUUGGACAAAUUCAGGAAUGACAACAAACGGGUUUUCAAUGUAUGCCAGUCCAUCUAUCGACUGGGCCAAAAAAAUUGCGGUGCCCUCUUACUCGGAACGAGAAUUCACAUUUUUGUCACUUGGCCCACAGACUACAAUAAUAUUCAAAUAGGGCUUUCAAAUGCAAGAUCACAACGUGAAGCAACUUGGAAGAAUGAGUAUGUAUGCGAAGUGUAUUGGGGGAUGCAUGCAGGGCGAUAGUGCGGGUUCGAAUCCCAGGUUAUGUCUUGAAAAAAAUAGGAGAAGUGAAAUUUUUUAACAUCCCUAUGCUUUUUUUGCCUAGGUCAUCAGGGUGGCAGACAGUGUCGUAUUACCCUCAAAUGCAAAGAGAAAGUUUGAUGUAGCCAAUCAAUGGAAAAAAAAACAUUUCCAUCAGUUCUAAUAACAUGCAUGAUGAGCUAGGCAAAAAAGCAUAGCGUAGGGCCCUGAGCUUCCAAGCUCUCUCGUGGUCUUUUGCAUCAUUGUGCAGUAUUGGAGAACUAAUCUACUUAUUGUGGACACGAUGGAAGCUGAGCUCAGUCUUAGCAAGGUGAUGGACAACAAGACAAAUCGCGUAGAUUCUCGGCUGCAACCGUUUGCCAAUGCUCAUAUCCACAUGCACUUGACUGGAUGAAGACAGUUGGGGGAUGGCUUCACAAUAAGCAACACCGGGUACUUCUACAACAAUGCCUCACUUGGCAAUAGCUGCACGUUCUUGAGAGCAUUUUGGACGGUACAUCGUAUAUCUACACAGGGUAUACAAUGUGGGGAUUUUGUGUCGGGUACUGGGCCGUUUUUGUUCUAUUCCGCUGUGGGGUAAUUCUGUCCGACAGAACUCCCGCUCACACAGUCCCUUAAUUGGAUUGCUGGGCUUUUGUAAAAUUGUUGAAUUGGGACUAGCAGAUAUUACUGGCAGAAAAUUAGCUGAAACCAGGGUGACCCUAGCACAUUCCAAUACUUAGCUGGUGCCAAAGACGCAGAUCAUGCUAUUUGUCUUUCUUGAGUUUGUGAACUGUAAAUAUGACUGUGUGUGUGUGUGUAUGUGUGUGUGUGUAUGUGUGUGUGUGUGUGCAUUUAUGUGUGUGUGCUUGUGUGGUGUGGUGUGUGUGUGUGCGUGUGUGUGUGCGUGUGUGUGUGCGUGUGUGUGUGUGUGUGUGUUUGCAACCCGUGCCAUCCUUGGUGUAUCCUGCCCAACACAGUGAUAGGACAGGCUCACCAGGGAGGAGAUCGCAGCAGAGUUCGACUCCCUGCAGACAACGGUGAGCUUCUGCGGUGCCAUCGUCUUCGCUGGCUCGGUCAUAUUGACGGGAUAAAUUUCAACCGUCCUCCCAAGCAGGUCCUCUUCGGGAAUCUUCCGUCGUGGCGCCUCCGGUCAUGGCCCCAGGAAGAUAUGGCGUAAUGAUGCUAGAUCUGACCUGGCCGUGGCGGGGAUCCCGGAAAGUGACUGGUACGAUAUGGCACAAGACAGGGCAGAGAGGAGGGAGUGGUCUCGUCGUCGUCGUUGACCUCCUCCUCCCCCAUCAGAGUCAGCGAAGAGGUUUCAACGCAUGUGCGGACGAACAUUUCGCCGGGCGAGUGACUUAAAGCGUCACUCCCCAUAUUGCUCAGCUCACCCGCUAUUAUCGCACUGGAGAUGGGCGUAAGGGGUCCAAUGUCUAAGGUGUAUGAAGCGCUCUGCACUCUGGUGCAUUGAACCCUCUAACUUAUCAAAGCUGUAUUGACCGGCCCUGAAUAGGGUAAUACAUCCAGCCUAAAACCAGGUAUCGAACUUACCGGCUCAGCGCAUCAAAGUCAACGUGUUCUAACUGCGAUAAACACAGCGAGCUUUGCUUUGUUUUUACUGUGAUAAUAACAAUAAUCUCUGUGCAUCGCAUGUCCCCGACCUCUUGCUGUUUCUUGUUCAGUACAUUGAUUAGCUCUGUGCAUUGUGGGCAAACUUAUUAUAGUACCGUAUUUUCCGGAGUGUAAACCGCACUGGAGUAUAAACCGCACCACUCCCCCCCCCCCCCCAUUUUUCCCUCACGAAAUACAGACAUCUUUUAUCACCGUUAAUUUGAUCAUCAGAGUAUACCGCACCCACUUUUCUUGGGCAAAUUUUGAGUGUUCAAAGUGUGGCUCGUACUCCGGAAAAUACAUGUACAUGUAUUGGCUUUCUUAGUGCAAUCGUUGGUCAGGUUUCCGGUCAAGUGCUGGCUAUUGAAAUAAGAUGUCCCUAAUAAUAA
This is a long non-coding RNA of Sycon ciliatum, 9065 nucleotides long. RefSeq lists it as uncharacterized. NCBI's taxonomy places the organism in Eukaryota, Metazoa, Porifera, Calcarea, Leucosolenida, Sycettidae. The record is from RefSeq and is a predicted model, not a curated record. The transcript is spliced from 5 exons.